Molecule: ribosomal RNA, 298 nt
Filed under: uncultured bacterium
Lineage: Bacteria
Description: partial 16S ribosomal RNA
Rfam family: Bacterial small subunit ribosomal RNA
Source: RNAcentral
AAGAUCCUACGGGGGGCAGCAGUGGGGAAUAUUGCGCAAUGGGCGAAAGCCUGACGCAGCGACGCCGCGUGAGGGAUGGAGGUCUUCGGAUCGUAAACCUCUGUCAGCAGGGAAGAACGGUCACUGUGCUAAUCAGCAGUGAAUUGACGGUACCUGCAAAGGAAGCACCGGCUAACUCCGUGCCAGCAGCCGCGGUAAUACGGAGGGUGCGAGCGUUGAUCGGAAUUACUGGGCGUAAAGCGCUCGUAGGCGGUAUGUCAAGUCAAGGGUGAAGUCCCCGCGCUCAACGUGGGGACUG